GAGUUUGAUCGUGGCUCAGAUUGAACGCUGGCGGCAUGCCUUACACAUGCAAGUCGAACGGCAGCAUGAUCUAGCUUGCUAGAUUGAUGGCGAGUGGCGAACGGGUGAGUAAUACAUCGGAACGUGCCCUGUAGUGGGGGAUAACUAGUCGAAAGAUUAGCUAAUACCGCAUACGACCUGAGGGUGAAAGUGGGGGACCGCAAGGCCUCAUGCUAUAGGAGCGGCCGAUGUCUGAUUAGCUAGUUGGUGGGGUAAAGGCCCACCAAGGCGACGAUCAGUAGCUGGUCUGAGAGGACGAUCAGCCACACUGGGACUGAGACACGGCCCAGACUCCUACGGGAGGCAGCAGUGGGAAUUUUGGACAAUGGGCGAAAGCCUGAUCCAGCAAUGCCGCGUGUGUGAGAAGGCC
Molecule: ribosomal RNA, 409 nt
Filed under: uncultured microorganism
Description: bacterial SSU rRNA
Rfam family: Bacterial small subunit ribosomal RNA
Source: RNAcentral